Molecule: ribosomal RNA, 253 nt
Filed under: uncultured bacterium
Lineage: Bacteria
Description: partial 16S ribosomal RNA
Rfam family: Bacterial small subunit ribosomal RNA
Source: RNAcentral
UACGUAGGGGGCAAGCGUUGUCCGGAUUUAUUGGACGUAAAGAGCGUGUAGGCGGCCAGAUAGGUCAGCUGUGAAAACUCGAGGCUCAACCUCGAGAUGUCGGCUGAAACCAUCUGGCUAGAGUCCGGAAGAGGAGAAUGGAAUUCCCGGUGUAGCGGAGAAAUGCGCAGAUAUCGGGAAGAACACCCGUGGCGAAGGCGGUUCUCUGGGACGGUACUGACGCUGAGACGCGAAAGCGUGGGGAGCGAACAGG